GAUGAACGCUGGCGGCGUGCCUAAUACAUGCAAGUCGAGCGAACAGAUAAGGAGCUUGCUCCUUUGACGUUAGCGGCGGACGGGUGAGUAACACGUGGAUAACCUACCUAUAAGACUGGGAUAACUUCGGGAAACCGGAGCUAAUACCGGAUAACAUAUUGAACCGCAUGGUUCAAUAGUGAAAGGCGGCUUUGCUGUCACUUAUAGAUGGAUCCGCGCCGUAUUAGCUAGUUGGUAAGGUAACGGCUUACCAAGGCAACGAUACGUAGCCGACCUGAGAGGGUGAUCGGCCACACUGGAACUGAGACACGGUCCAGACUCCUACGGGAGGCAGCAGUAGGGAAUAUUCCGCAAUGGGCGAAAGCCUGACGGAGCAACGCCGCGUGAGUGAUGAAGGUCUUCGGAUCGUAAAACUCUGUUAUCAGGGAAGAACAAAUGUGUAAGUAACUGUGCACAUCUUGACGGUACCUGAUCAGAAAGCAACGGCUAACUACGUG
RNAcentral lists this ribosomal RNA (497 nucleotides) under uncultured bacterium. Its description in RNAcentral is "partial 16S ribosomal RNA". It matches the Rfam family "Bacterial small subunit ribosomal RNA", at positions 28 to 507 of the family's 1533-position model. The record is from RNAcentral.